UACGGAUGGGGCGAGCGUUAAUCGGAAUUACUGGGCGUAAAGCGCACGUAGGUGGCGACGUAAGUCGGGUGUGAAAGCCCCGGGCUCAACCUGGGAAUUGCAUUCGAGACUGCAUUGCUGGAGUACGGAAGAGGAGGGCGGAAGUCCCGGUGUAGCGGUGAAAUGCGUAGAUAUCGGGAGGAACAUCAGUGGCGAAGGCGGCCCUCUGGUCCAGUACUGACACUCAAGUGCGAAAGCGUGGGGAGCAAACAGG
RNAcentral lists this ribosomal RNA (253 nucleotides) under uncultured bacterium. RNAcentral's name for it is "partial 16S ribosomal RNA". It matches the Rfam family "Bacterial small subunit ribosomal RNA", at positions 524 to 776 of the family's 1533-position model. The record is from RNAcentral.